CCUACGGGAGGCAGCAGCAAGGAAUCUUCCGCAAUGGGCGAAAGCCUGACGGAGCAACGCCGCGUGUGGGAUGACGCCUUUCGGGGUGUAAACCACUUUUCUCAGGGAAGAAGCACUGACGGUACCUGAGGAAGAAGGACCGGCUAACUACGUGCCAGCAGCCGCGGUAAUACGUAGGGUCCGAGCGUUGUCCGGAGUUACUGGGCGUAAAGCGCGCGCAGGCGGCGGAGUAAGCAUGGCGUGAAAGCCCCAGGCUCAACCUGGGAGGGUCGUCGUGGACUGCUUCGCUUGAGGGCGGUAGGGGCUGGUGGAAUGCCUGGUGUAGUGGUGAAAUGCGUAGAGAUCAGGCGGAACACCCGUGGCGAAGGCGGCCAGCUGGGCCGUCCCUGACGCUGAGGCGCGAAGGCGUGGGGAGCGAACGGGAUUAGAUACCCCGGUAGUCCACGCAGUAAACGAUGCAGACUAGGCGUGGGGGGAGUUGACCCCCUCCGUGCCGGAGCCAACGCGGGAAGUCUGCCGCCUGGAGAGUACGGCCGCAAGGCUAAAACUCAAAGGAAUUGACGG
Molecule: ribosomal RNA, 564 nt
Filed under: uncultured bacterium
Lineage: Bacteria
Description: bacterial SSU rRNA
Rfam family: Bacterial small subunit ribosomal RNA
Source: RNAcentral